This 253-nucleotide ribosomal RNA is filed under the name uncultured bacterium. Its description in RNAcentral is "partial 16S ribosomal RNA". It matches the Rfam family "Bacterial small subunit ribosomal RNA", at positions 524 to 776 of the family's 1533-position model. The record is from RNAcentral.
UACGUAGGUGGCAAGCGUUGUCCGGAUUUACUGGGCGUAAAGAGCGCGCAGGCGGUCGUUCAAGUCGAGUGUGAAAGCCCCCGGCUCAACUGGGGAGGGUCACUCGAUACUGAUCGACUCGAAGGCAGAAGAGGGAAGCGGAAUUCCCGGUGUAGUGGUGAAAUGCGUAGAUAACGGGAGGAACACCAGUGGCGAAGGCGGCUUUCUGGUCUGCUCUUGACGCUGAGGCGCGAAAGCUAGGGUAGCAAACGGG